CCUACGGGUGGCAGCAGUGAGGAAUAUUGGUCAAUGGGCGUAAGCCUGAACCAGCCAAGUCGCGUGAGGGAUGAAGGUUCUAUGGAUCGUAAACCUCUUUUAUAAGGGAAUAAAGUGCGGGACGUGUCCCGUUUUGUAUGUACCUUAUGAAUAAGGAUCGGCUAACUCCGUGCCAGCAGCCGCGGUAAUACGGAGGAUCCGAGCGUUAUCCGGAUUUAUUGGGUUUAAAGGGAGCGUAGGUGGAUUGUUAAGUCAGUUGUGAAAGUUUGCGGCUCAACCGUAAAAUUGCAGUUGAAACUGGCAGUCUUGAGUACAGUAGAGGUGGGCGGAAUUCGUGGUGUAGCGGUGAAAUGCUUAGAUAUCACGAAGAACUCCGAUUGCGAAGGCAGCUCACUGGACUGCAACUGACACUGAGGCUCGAAAGUGUGGGUAUCAAACAGGAUUAGAUACCCGAGUAGUC
Molecule: ribosomal RNA, 460 nt
Filed under: uncultured bacterium
Lineage: Bacteria
Description: partial 16S ribosomal RNA
Rfam family: Bacterial small subunit ribosomal RNA
Source: RNAcentral